AACGAGGCCGACCUGCGGCUGAGUUACCUGCGGAGGGAUCAUUACUGAGUGUAAAAACUCCCAAACCCAUUGUGAACAUACCACUGUUGCUUCGGCGGAUACGCCCCGGGCGCGCUCUUCACAGGGCGUGCCCCGGAACCAGGCGCCCGCCGGGGGACCGAAACUCUUGUUUUCUUAGGAUCUCUGAGUGUGAUUAUUAAAUAAAUCAAAACUUUUAACAAUGGAUCUCAGAUCGGAAGA
RNAcentral lists this unclassified non-coding RNA (240 nucleotides) under soil metagenome. RNAcentral describes it as "partial contains 5.8S ribosomal RNA, internal transcribed spacer 2, and large subunit ribosomal RNA". The record is from RNAcentral.